AGAGUUUGAUCAUGGCUCAGAAUCAACGCUGGCGGCGUGCCUCAGACAUGCAAGUCGAACGAUUAAACUCCGUUUCGGGAAGAUAUAAAGUGGCGUACGGGUGAGUAACACGUAGGUAAUGUACCGUUUGGUGGGAAUAACUUAGGGAAACUUAAGCUAAUACCGCAUAAUGCAGCGGCUCGAUAUCGAGACAGUUGUUAAAGGAGUAAUCCGCCUAAAGAGCAGCCUGCGGCAGAUUAGCUAGUUGGUAAGGUAAUGGCUUACCAAGGCUACGAUCUGUAACCGACCUGAGAGGGUGGUCGGUCACACUGACACUGAAUAACGGGUCAGACUCCUACGGGAGGCAGCAGUCGGGAAUUUUGGGCAAUGGGCGAAAGCCUGACCCAGCAACGCCGCGUGAAGGAUGAAGUCUCUCGGGAUGUAAACUUCGUAAGAAUAGGAAGAAUAAAUGACGGUACUAUUUGUAAGGUCCGGCUAACUACGUG
RNAcentral lists this ribosomal RNA (485 nucleotides) under uncultured bacterium. Its description in RNAcentral is "bacterial SSU rRNA". It matches the Rfam family "Bacterial small subunit ribosomal RNA", at positions 8 to 507 of the family's 1533-position model. The record is from RNAcentral.